UACGAAGGGGACUAGCGUUGUUCGGAAUCACUGGGCGUAAAGCGCACGUAGGCGGAUUCGUAAGUCAGGGGUGAAAUCCCGGGGCUCAACCUCGGAACUGCCUUUGAUACUGCGGGUCUUGAGUCCGAUAGAGGUGGGUGGAAUUCCUAGUGUAGAGGUGAAAUUCGUAGAUAUUAGGAAGAACACCGGUGGCGAAGGCGGCCCACUGGAUCGGUACUGACGGUGAGGUGCGAAAGCGUGGGGAGCAAACAGG
This 253-nucleotide ribosomal RNA is filed under the name uncultured bacterium. RNAcentral's name for it is "partial 16S ribosomal RNA". It matches the Rfam family "Bacterial small subunit ribosomal RNA", at positions 524 to 776 of the family's 1533-position model. The record is from RNAcentral.